AUUGAACGCUGGCGGCAGGCCUAACACAUGCAAGUCGAGCGGAUGAAGGGAGCUUGCUCCUGGAUUCAGCGGCGGACGGGUGAGUAAUGCCUAGGAAUCUGCCUGGUAGUGGGGGAUAACGUCCGGAAACGGGCGCUAAUACCGCAUACGUCCUGAGGGAGAAAGUGGGGGAUCUUCGGACCUCACGCUAUCAGAUGAGCCUAGGUCGGAUUAGCUAGUUGGUGGGGUAAAGGCCUACCAAGGCGACGAUCCGUAACUGGUCUGGGAGGAUGAUCAGUCACACUGGAACUGAGACACGGUCCAGACUCCUACGGGAGGCAGCAGUGGGGAAUAUUGGACAAUGGGCGAAAGCCUGAUCCAGCCAUGCCGCGUGUGUGAAGAAGGUCUUCGGAUUGUAAAGCACUAUAAGUUGGGAGGAAGGGCAGUAAGUUAAUACCUUGCUGUUUUGACGUUACCAACAGAAUAAGCACCGGCUAACUUCGUG
Molecule: ribosomal RNA, 484 nt
Filed under: uncultured bacterium
Lineage: Bacteria
Description: partial 16S ribosomal RNA
Rfam family: Bacterial small subunit ribosomal RNA
Source: RNAcentral